Molecule: ribosomal RNA, 425 nt
Filed under: uncultured bacterium
Lineage: Bacteria
Description: partial 16S ribosomal RNA
Rfam family: Bacterial small subunit ribosomal RNA
Source: RNAcentral
GUGGGGAAUCUUGCGCAAUGGGCGAAAGCCUGACGCAGCCAUGCCGCGUGAAUGAUGAAGGUCUUAGGAUUGUAAAAUUCUUUCACCGGGGACGAUAAUGACGGUACCCGGAGAAGAAGCCCCGGCUAACUUCGUGCCAGCAGCCGCGGUAAUACGAAGGGGGCUAGCGUUGCUCGGAAUUACUGGGCGUAAAGGGCGCGUAGGCGGACAGUUUAGUCAGAGGUGAAAGCCCAGGGCUCAACCUUGGAAUUGCCUUUGAUACGGGCUGUCUUGAGUACGGGAGAGGUGAGUGGAACUCCGAGUGUAGAGGUGAAAUUCGUAGAUAUUCGGAAGAACACCAGUGGCGAAGGCGACUCACUGGCCCGUUACUGACGCUGAGGCGCGAAAGCGUGGGGAGCAAACAGGAUUAGAUACCCCUGUAGUCC